Molecule: ribosomal RNA, 468 nt
Filed under: uncultured bacterium
Lineage: Bacteria
Description: partial 16S ribosomal RNA
Rfam family: Bacterial small subunit ribosomal RNA
Source: RNAcentral
GACGAACGCUGGCGGCGUGCUUAACACAUGCCAGUCGAACGGAAAGGCCCUGCUUUUGUGGGGUGCUCGAGUGGCGAACGGGUGAGUAACACGUGAGUAACCUGCCCUUGACUUUGGGAUAACUUCAGGAAACUGGGGCUAAUACCGGAUAGGAGCUCCUGCUGCAUGGUGGGGGUUGGAAAGUUUCGGCGGUUGGGGAUGGACUCGCGGCUUAUCAGCUUGUUGGUGGGGUAGUGGCUUACCAAGGCUUUGACGGGUAGACGGCCUGAGAGGGUGACCGGCCACAUUGGGACUGAGAUACGGCCCAGACUCCUACGGGAGGCAGCAGUGGGGAAUAGUGCACAAUGGGCGGAAGCCUGAUGCAGCAACGCCGCGUGCGGGAUGACGGCCUUCGGGUUGUAAACCGCUUUCGCCUGUGACGAAGCGUGAGUGACGGUAAUGGGUAAAGAAGCACCGGCUAACUACGUG